AUGCGUCUGAUUAGCUUGUUGGCGGGGUAACGGCCCUCCAAGGCGACGAUCAGUAGGGGUUCUGAGAGGAAGGUCCCCCACAUUGGAACUGAGACACGGUCCAAACUCCUACGGGAGGCAGCAGUGAGGAAUAUUGGUCAAUGGGCGAGAGCCUGAACCAGCCAAGUAGCGUGCAGGAAGACGGCCCUAUGGGUUGUAAACUGCUUUUAUAAGGGAAUAAAGUGAGUCUCGUGAGACUUUUUGCAUGUACCUUAUGAAUAAGGACCGGCUAAUUCCGUGCCAGCAGCCGCGGUAAUACGGAAGGUCCGGGCGUUAUCCGGAUUUAUUGGGUUUAAAGGGAGCGUAGGCCGGAGAUUAAGCGUGUUGUGAAAUGUAGACGCUCAACGUCUGCACUGCAGCGCGAACUGGUUUCCUUGAGUACGCACAAAGUGGGCGGAAUUCGUGGUGUAGCGGUGAAAUGCUUAGAUAUCACGAAGAACUCCGAUUGCGAAGGCAGCUCACUGGAGCGCAACUGACGCUGAAGCUCGAAAGUGCGGGUAUCGAACAGGAUUAGAUACCCUGGUAGUCCGCACGGUAA
Molecule: ribosomal RNA, 577 nt
Filed under: uncultured bacterium
Lineage: Bacteria
Description: bacterial SSU rRNA
Rfam family: Bacterial small subunit ribosomal RNA
Source: RNAcentral